RNAcentral lists this ribosomal RNA (510 nucleotides) under Triticum aestivum (bread wheat). Its description in RNAcentral is "partial small subunit ribosomal RNA". The record is from RNAcentral. Lineage: Eukaryota; Viridiplantae; Streptophyta; Magnoliopsida; Poales; Poaceae.
AUGGACGAGGACUCGGACAGCGACAGCGAGAGCGAGAGCGACUCGGACAGCGACAACACCCAAGCUCGAACGGUGGACCUAAAUCAUUUGGCGAACAUUCGAACCAGAUCUCAGUACACCAACAAGGACAAGCGACAUGUUUAUAAUGUGCUGUUACAGAAAAAUGGUCGACUAGGUCGGUUGAAGCAUGGAGUGAGCAAGGCCGUGGCACUUCAAUGCAAUAUGUCACGGAGGAGUGUAGUGCGGAUAUGGAAGGAUGGCAUGCUUGGUGGAGGUGUAAACGCUGUGAUCAACAAGAAGAAGAAGCGAUGUGGCCGCAAACGGAUUGAGAUUGACACCGUCGCCAUGGAACAAAUACCACCGCAAGAAAGGGCAACACUUGAAUCCCUUUCGAAGGCUAUGCGCAUGUCCGUUUCAACCCUGCACCCACGUCUGAAAGAGAAGUUUCGGCGACGAGGAUCUCGUCCGUGGUGGCACGGGCCGCGCCCACCGCAGCGCCGACGCCGUUGA